RNAcentral lists this ribosomal RNA (228 nucleotides) under uncultured bacterium. RNAcentral's name for it is "partial 16S ribosomal RNA". It matches the Rfam family "Bacterial small subunit ribosomal RNA", at positions 103 to 334 of the family's 1533-position model. The record is from RNAcentral.
CGGGUGAGUAAUGUCUGGGAAACUGCCCGAUGGAGGGGGAUAACUACUGGAAACGGUAGCUAAUACCGCAUGACGUCGCAAGACCAAAGAGGGGGACCUUCGGGCCUCUUGCCAUCGGAUGUGCCCAGAUGGGAUUAGCUAGUAGGUGGGGUAACGGCUCACCUAGGCGACGAUCCCUAGCUGAUCUGAGAGGAUGACCAGCCACACUGGAACUGAGACACGGUCCAG